UUUCUCUCUCUUUCCUUACAAUUUGCUCUGAUCGCUUUUCAGACUCGGACCUCGCAGUUUCAGAUGAACACUAAGCUAAACCUCGUUGGUUCCUUCAAUUUUUUUAACUUUUUGUAGUCAAUCCCUUCCCACGAAUACAUCAUAGGGAAUUUCUUCUACCGAUUAAUCUACAAUCAUCAUCAGCAACGGUCUGUCUCAAAAUGUUAACUAGUGCAAAGCUCCUUAUCCUUUUAUUUCUGGUCCAAGUACACCAAAUCUGCUAUUCUGCAAGCAACAACUCCUGCAUUCCUUCCUCUUGUGGCCACAUCCGCAACAUUAGCUACCCUUUCCGAUUGAAAACCGAUCCUGUAAUCUGUGGCCAGGAAGAGUAUGAACUUGCUUGCGAGAAUAACGUUCCUGUAGCAUACUUUUUUUCAGCAAAAUAUUAUGUCAAGGAAAUCAAUUACAAUAACUUCACCAUCCGCCUGGCAGAUUCCGAUGUACAAAGCAAUAACUACUGCUCUCUUCCUCCUUAUCCUUCAACCACCGCCUAUUCUUUUCCCUCAUUGUUUUACAGUGCAUAUCCUACGCUGCAAUAUAUCUAUGGCUCUGGCUCUUUAUAUCAGGACUUGGUUUUCGUAACUUGUCCAAAACCAGUCAUUACUGAAGUUUAUGUGGAUGCUUCUCCUUGCAACAUCACUUAUAAUUCCUCUUCUUCCUCCCCCAAUUCGGAAACGGAAGGUUAUUCUUACGUUAAAGUUGGGUCUGAUGGUGCAAUGGAUUUGGAGGACUCUUGCCGUAUCGAGCGAAUUUAUAUUACAUCUUUGUUGCCAAAAGAUUUAAAGAACGUUUCCUAUGCAGAUGUUCACCGUAGUUUGGUAUAUGGGUUUGAGCUUUCAUGGUUUUGGGGUUGUUGCCGGAAUUACACAGAAAACGGCUGCAAGCUAGAUGCUGCUACCAUCAUCGACCAUUGCAAUCCAGGAUCCGGGAUCAUUCAAUUUCCUCAGCUGCGUUCCAUCCUUCUCAAGCUAGAAAAAACUGUUCUCGGUCGUCUACUCCGACGACUCGGUUGGGAUCCGUCACUUUAUUUUGAUUUGGAUUUGCAAGGUUAUGUAUUGGCGCUCCUUCGAUAUGCUCUUGUUCUUUUUGUGUUGUAUCGUGCUCCGUUAUACCUUUGUGCAGUACUUUGGGCUAUCAUAUUUUUUAGUUAUAGGUGGCGAAGGAGGCAUUUUUCAGAAUAUGGUACAAUUGAAGAAUUUUUGGAAAGUCAUAAUAAUCUUAUGCCCGUUAGGUAUUCAUAUUCGGAUAUUAAGAAGAUCACCAAUGGUUUCAAAGAUAAGUUGGGUGAAGGAGGUUAUG
Molecule: unclassified non-coding RNA, 1338 nt
Filed under: Hevea brasiliensis (rubber tree)
Lineage: Eukaryota; Viridiplantae; Streptophyta; Magnoliopsida; Malpighiales; Euphorbiaceae
Source: RNAcentral